This 253-nucleotide ribosomal RNA is filed under the name uncultured bacterium. RNAcentral's name for it is "partial 16S ribosomal RNA". It matches the Rfam family "Bacterial small subunit ribosomal RNA", at positions 524 to 776 of the family's 1533-position model. The record is from RNAcentral.
UACGUAGGGUGCGAGCGUUGUCCGGAAUUAUUGGGCGUAAAGGGCUCGUAGGCGGUUUGUCACGUCGGGAGUGAAAUCCACUGGCUUAACUGGUGGCUUGCUUUCGAUACGGGCAGACUGGAGGUAUGCAGGGGAGAACGGAAUUCCUGGUGUAGCGGUGAAAUGCGCAGAUAUCAGGAGGAACACCGGUGGCGAAGGCGGCAUCCUGGACCGGCAUUGACGCUGAGGCGCGAAAGCCAGGGGAGCAAACGGG